Molecule: long non-coding RNA, 3277 nt
Filed under: Oreochromis niloticus (Nile tilapia)
Lineage: Eukaryota; Metazoa; Chordata; Actinopteri; Cichliformes; Cichlidae
Description: lncRNA (ENSONIG00000029985.1)
Source: RNAcentral
GUGAAAACAACUCCAACAACUUUGUAAAAGUUUUCAUCAAUGUUCACAAAUCAGCCGUUUCAGAAAUAAUUGUUCAUGAAAAUGUUCAUUAAAAUCAGAGGUGACGUUUGGACAGUAGCCAAGCAGGGCAAUGUUUGUCCAUCAGUUUCUAUUUAUGGCCAAAUAUUAUGUUGCUAGGUAACAGCCAGCUCUAUCAGAGUUAUCAAAUUAGCAUUAGCAGCUCAGUGAGCGGCAGAAACGUAUAUGUCUGAUGUCAUCUGUUCCCUUCUGCAGCCUCAAAGAGAAACACAAAGAAAUGUUCCAGCGGAAGAUGCAGAAGCUACUGUUGGAACUGACUAACAUCAGUGACACAAAAACCACACAAACGCCAGUAAAUGGUGUUUAUUUGUCUGGCCAUUGUAAUUUACUGUGACUAAAUGGAUGCUGAAAUAUUGACAAAUCCUUUCCAAGGAUCCAUAAAACGAGCUAUCUCACAAAGGAGUGCUCUAGACACAAACUAUAAAAAGUCUUGGUCUGGCAGGUUGCCUGAAGGGCAAGUGAAAACAAAGGCCACCUACGCACAGACUAUCAGUGACAAGAGAAAGACGGCCAGACAGGCAAUCCCACCAGGAACACUUUCACCUGAGCCGCAGACAAAAGCAGUUGCUGGGAGAAAAGCGCAUAAUAUUCAUAAUUUCUGGUACAAGGAACUGCAGUGCAAGCACCAGCACACGGAGAAGAAAAAUGAAGCGCUCCAGAGAAAUGCACAACUGCUGAAAGAUGAGGAACAACUGGAAGAGACACAAAGCAAAAACAUUGAAAUUUGAAAACGAGAAACAAGAACUGGAGAAAAUAUGCAUAGAAAUGCAGAGUAAAAUCCAAGCACUGCUGAGCAAAAAAACCCCCAAACUAUUUGCAAAGAUUGUAUAACAAAGCACAAUAAACAAACAUCGAAAUGCAAGAGGAGAAGUGACAACAGGAGAAAAAGCAUAAUGACAUCCAGUGUACGCUACACAAACUGCAGAGGAGACAUCAAGAGUUACUGGACAUCCAUAACAAAGUACAAGAAACAAACAACGAUAUGCAGGAAAAGAAAGUUCAAGAAGAAAAAUAUAAAGAAAUGCAAGAGAAAAAUGAAGAACUGCAACAAAAGCAUGAAGAAAAUCAAGAAAAAUUAGAAGAACUGCAGAAAAGGUGUAAGAAACUUGAGGUGCAGCAUGGAGAGCUUUUCAAUGAGGUGACAAGCCUCAUAGCGCAGAACAAAGAUCUGCAGGAACUGUGCCUGGAAAAUAAGAAAAAUCACUCGAGGUUUUGCUGGAAGAAGGACUCAGUAAAUUCACUGUGCUUCAAAUUUAAUGUUGUUUAGAAACAUUAAUGAUGGAUACGGAUCAAUAACUUAAACUGAGCUUUAUUUAAUUGGAUUCCUGUUUUGAGUUCUUUAUUAUUCUAAACCUGACCAGUCCUGUGUUUUGGUUCAUGUUUUCAUUAUUAUCUUAGUGUGUUGAGUUUAAGAAUAUUUACUUUUCAUGGAGUUGUAUAUGCCUGUUUAUAUGAUUUACUAUUACAUUCUAGUGUUAGCUGCUGAUUCCCUAGGAAUGUACCUCUGUUCCUUUCCUGUUUUGUUCUGAUCACUAGUUUCCUCGGGUCUCGUUUUGGGUUUUUACUAACCAUCUGAUGGACUGUCUUGAUUGUUUUCACCUGUGUCUUGUUCCCCCAACUUUGCAUUAUCCCUAGUCAGGCUUCUGCGUGUAUAAAUAGCCCAGUUUUCCCUGUGUCCUCUGGCAGGAUGUUUGUUUCUCUACCUUGUCUGUACUCUGUGCUCCUCUUGGUUAUUCUUGAUGGGCAGAGUGAGGCUGAAAGUUUUUUAACACAGUUUAGCCAGAAAUUUACAGAGAUUUCAAAACAAUCGGACAUCCAUCUCCACAGAGGCACCUACUGGAGACUUUUGUUAUUAUUAUAUUUUUAAAAAACGAUUCCGUUAAAUAAUAACACAGAAGAUUGUUGCACAAUUGGAAUCAAGGCUAAUUAUUAGGCAAGAUUAUCAAUAAAUAAUUAUUGAUAAUCAACACAUGUUUUGGAGAAAUUGUCACACACCAAAGCAAGAACAUUUUUUGAGAGAGUUAGACAACAGGCUGUGACUCUAAGGCUGUUUCAGCAAAUACUGGACUGGUACCUACUGUUUCACCUUCUUAGUAAUUCAGUGUAAUGGAGAAAUAGAGAACAGUCUGCAAUGUUUAUUGUGAUAACUACAUUUGUUUUGUAGAUUUAAUUGUCACGUACUUUGCAGUUAGGCUAAAUGUAAACAACAGGGAUUUCUGUGAAAGAUUUAUCAUCUACAGAGGAAAGUGUGAAUGACUGUAGUUAAUUAUGCUUAUGGAGAAUGAAGAUGAAUAAGAGAAAAUCACAUUAAUAAUGUCUACAUUUGUUGUAGUUCAGUUGUUUUGGGCCCUGAGACUUGCCAAAAACUUGUUCAAACUUAUUGCGAAUAUACAUAAAUAUUUUUUGCUAAGCUCUAAAAGUGUGGAUAUACAGCACAUUGUUCCUGCAAAUAAACAAGUGGACCAUGUGCCCUAUGAAGCAAAUGCAUUUGUGAGGUAUCUUUUGACCUCUACAGUGGUGUCAGCGGUUGCAUUGUAUGUACUACACUCACCUGGCAGUAAAAAGUUCCUACAAACAGUCUGAGUCCUCCGCUAUCGCUGCUUCUGCCACUCCUGCUGUUGAUGAUGAUGAUGAUGACUUUUACUGGGAGUUUGUGGUGACAUUAGAUUUGUUCUACACAUCAUCAAUCAAACUUAAAAGCAGCAGGUAAGCCACCAGUAGAAACUGCACUGAAACACAUCAAAAACCUCAAUUAGCCGUGGUCACGUGAGGUGGGUGACAUGAACCACACUCCACAGCAGCAUUUCAAAACAUCUGCACUUCAUAAGCUUGACACAGUGUUGACACAUCAGUAUGAAGUAGCCCUACCAAUUAUAUAUGGUGUUUGCUUUUUGGGCUUUUCCUCAUCUCCUAACUCCUGCAUCAACGUCAAUACAUUGUCUUGCUUUUUGUUAAUACGUCUGCUUCCUGUUCCUGCUGCCAUCCACGAACUGUGACGUUUACUUUAUUUUCCUGCCAAAUACCUGCCAAACUAUUGUUUUAAGCCUCGUAAUGACCUAACAAAGAAUAAAUGACUGUUCAAGUUCAUUUAAAAUGGCAUAAACUUUGUAAACCCCUGAGAACGCUCAACUUCAAAAAGCAGGGUUUCUUCAAUGGGCUCUAAGAGCAGAUGGUUAAACUUCCACAGUUUGGUAGAUCU